Non-coding RNA from Lactuca sativa (garden lettuce), 1575 nucleotides. Lineage: Eukaryota; Viridiplantae; Streptophyta; Magnoliopsida; Asterales; Asteraceae. The record is from RefSeq and is a predicted model, not a curated record.
AUAGAGAUGGGCUUGUCUGACGCUGUUCCACGAGUUUACUCCCUCAACCAUGGUCACCGCCUCACUAUCCUGUAACCCACCGCCUUCAUCUCGAUCCUUCCUCAAACCUCUUCGUCUCCACCACUUCUCCCUUUUUCUUCAUUACCCACUCAUCUUCUCCAUUUGAUACCUUCAUCGACAUCCUACUAUUUGGUCACAACUCAUCUUCAUCGACAUCUAACCACCGAUAUCAACACCGCCUCUGACUCCUUUCACCUGACACCACUUGUCUGAUCCUUACGGAACCCCGUUUUUGAAACCGCGGGGACGUGGCGACGGCUACACCAACGGAGACGCUACAGAAGGCGAACUCUCGGGAAGGGUUUUCGAACACUGCAGUGGAGCCGGAAGCGGGUUAGUAUUCAGUCGGUUUCCUCCUCACCGUCCCCUCCCACCUCCACUAUGUUCCAAUCGGAGGUUUAGAGUGGUUUACAUGCUGUCACUGCUGCCAUAUCACCUCUAUUUUUCGUCGAUUCCAAUCUACCUCUAUUUUCCGUUGAUUUUGUUUCUCUCUGUUUUGUUGUCUCUAUUUGUGCGUAUCUUCUUCUUCUUCUUCACACCUUCACUUGUCUUUCAAUUUCCGUCCCACUUUGUUUUUUUGUUAGCAUCGAUUCCUUAUAGAUGGUUAGUAAUUAGUCGUGCUUUCUUUACUUCACCACAUUGUGCAAUAAUUAACCGUUCUUUCUUUAGUAAUCAACCGAAAUAUGUAGUCCCUAUUUCACCAAUCAGCCCUAAUAUUUGAUUUCUUUCUUUAUUUUGUUACUGUGUUUCCAGUUUUACUACUAUUGUUGUUGGCCAACAAUGCCCUAACAUUAAUUUCUUAGAGAUGGUUAGUAAUCAACACUUCUGCUGAUUUCGUUAUUUUUGUGAACACUGACUUCUUAUGGUGUGUUGUUAGUGCCAUCUGUGUCGCCUCUGGUGAGAGGUUGAAGAUGCCGACAAUGGAGAAGUUCAUCUGAAAAUAGGAAAGGGGAAAAUAGGAAAAUGCUGCAAGUUUGAUGGACAAGUUGAUGGGGCAAAUCAAAGUCUUAGGGCUCUUAAAGACACUUCGAGGAGGUAGAUUGGAGAAUGAGCUAACAAUAACAGAUGGUAUUCUCUAAAAUGAGGAUUUUCAGAGAAUCAAACAGCUAAAAUCAUUCUAAAUCAACAGCUUAUGAAAUCAACAACAUCCUAUGAGGUCCCAACUCAUUUUGAAAAGACUCAAUGGAUUUCACUUAAAGAAAGGAAGGCUUUGAUCAAAUCGGGAAAGAGAAGAUAGGGAAAAAUACCAAUCAAGAGCUGCUACCAAGUGGAAAAGGUGCUUCAUAUCUUUAAUUGAUGUUGUUGUGCGAACUAUAAUUUUACAGGUAAGCCAAACAUCCUAUAAAGAAGGUGAAAAGAAAGUUCCUACACAAGGAUCCUUUGAUUUCAUGACAUAUUGACUUAAUACUACAUGUCUAUUUUCUAUAGUUUGUCAAUGAUCUGAUUAAUGCAAGAGCUAACAUGUACAUAUUUGUUUUAUAAUAUUUUUUUAAGUGUUUGAUUUUUUUGAAGAAA